This 19-nucleotide ribosomal RNA is filed under the name Gyrodactylus chiapaneco. Its description in RNAcentral is "partial 28S ribosomal RNA". The record is from RNAcentral. Lineage: Eukaryota; Metazoa; Platyhelminthes; Monogenea; Gyrodactylidea; Gyrodactylidae. RNAcentral also lists the same sequence under 1 other name.
CCUGACCUCGAUUCAAGCG